AUCUACCACAGGAGUGGGCAGCCUUUUUCAGACUUAGGGCCACAUUCCCUUAUGGGUAGCCUUCUUGGAGCCACAACAGGCCAUUUUUGUCCGCUGCCUCACCACAGAGAGCAUUUCCUGUCAGAAGAAAGGGGGAGUACAUUUGUAGCCUGUUCUUUUGCUCAUCUUAUUAGUGGGAUGCAUUAAGAACACCGCUUCGGCAAAAGAACAGCUCCUGAUCCCUGCAGAAAACUGUAACUCAAUGAAGGUGGCAAGUGCAUCCCAACCACCACCACCACCAAAGCAGAAAAGAAGCUUCCGGCCACACACAUCUCAACAGGAACAGAUGGCCUUCUCAUCACUCCCACCCACAGCAAAGAAUUAAAUGCCUGCGCUCAACCAUCAGGUCUAAGCAGCUGCAUUUUACAGCUCGGCGAAAUCAAAGCAUCGCGGCUGGCUUUCAACAGUGGGACACCCAAGGAAGGCAACGACCCAUUAUCUGUAACACCCAGUACAAUUGGUUUAUUGAGGCCCGGAGACACCCACCCUACCCAUUCCCAAAGUUGGUUCCAUCAAAAGAACCAAGCUACAAAAAGAAACAGGGAUAUGCUUCAUUGGAAAGAGGUGGUGUCCUGCCUUAGUUAGCAUCGGAGCUCUAUGGCGUGAUAAGGAUAAUUCAUAUUAAUGUUACGGGGCCAGGGUGUGCGUUGUGUUAUAUUUUUGUUAUUAUAUAUGAAAAGUCCAUUCUAGUUAUGCCAUUUUAAAGCAGGAAGUGUGAGACAUGUGUUUCCUCAAAGGAGCUGUGUGGUGGCUGUAACCACAUAUGAGCAAUCUUCCUUUCUUUUGCUGUAGUUUCCUUUGCACAAGGGAUAAUAAGGUGCGGGGAGCCUCAUGUUGAGACCCCAAAGCUCUACAUUACAUUUGAAGUGAAGCAGAGAGAACCGUACAAAGUAGAGCUCAACCAAAGCAGAGCUCAA
Zootoca vivipara (common lizard) is the source of this 956-nucleotide non-coding RNA. The record is from RefSeq and is a predicted model, not a curated record. NCBI's taxonomy places the organism in Eukaryota, Metazoa, Chordata, Lepidosauria, Squamata, Lacertidae.